CCAAUGCCAGGUGCCCCAGAGGGAAUGAACAGAAAAGAGAUGUUUGUGAAGUUACAAACUGCUGUGAGGAGACCUUUCUAAAGCUGACUCUAUGGAUCAGUGUUUUCAGUUACUGGCUCCACUUCUGCUGACACAAAUAAAGCAGCUGCUAGAGGCUCCAGCUGAGACUGUGGCCCCACUAUGCCAGGCACUGUACAAACACACCAUGGGAAACAGUCUCUGCCCUGACGAACUUGCAGUCUAAACAGACAAAGGAUGGGAAGGAAGCAAAGGCAAAAAUAACUUGCCCUAGGUCACAUAUCAGGACAAUGACGGAGCCAGUAAUGGAACCUAGAUCUCCUGAUUCCCAGGCCUGUAACCUAUCCAGCUGGACCAUGCUGCUUCUUGUGAAUAUGCUAAUCAAAUAUACUCCUGAGUAGGAACCUUCCUGCUUGCACCAACGAUCUUUAAAUGAUGAUUGUUAAAGUAACAUUAGGAAAGAGCUCUUUCCUGUACAUUUAACAAAAAAUAAAAAAUUCUCCCCACAGUUCACUCUCUCCUAUUUAAUUUUUUUCUCUAAAAUCAUCUGCAGUUAAACAAAUAAAGCAGAUGUCUAGUCUCCUGGAAAAAAUUAUGCUUUGAAGCCAUGACACUAGCCUCACUUCUCAUGUCACUUAUGAUGUGGACUAAGCCUG
This is a long non-coding RNA of Gopherus evgoodei (Goodes thornscrub tortoise), 674 nucleotides long. RefSeq lists it as uncharacterized. The transcript has 3 exons. Lineage: Eukaryota; Metazoa; Chordata; Testudines; Testudinidae. The record is from RefSeq and is a predicted model, not a curated record.